AACGUAGGAGACAAACGUUAUCCGGAGUUACUGGGCGUAAAGGGCGUGUAGGUGGUUUCGUAAGUCUGGCGUGAAAUUUUUCGGCUUAACCGGGAAAGGUCGUCGGAUACUGCGGAACUAGAGGACGGUAGAGGCGUGUGGAAUUCCGGGUGUAGUGGUGAAAUGCGUAGAGAUCCGGAGGAAUACCAAAGGCGAAGGCAGUGUCCUGGCUGGCAUCUGACGCUGAGGCGCGAAAGCUAGGGGAGCGAACAGG
RNAcentral lists this ribosomal RNA (253 nucleotides) under uncultured bacterium. RNAcentral's name for it is "partial 16S ribosomal RNA". It matches the Rfam family "Bacterial small subunit ribosomal RNA", at positions 524 to 776 of the family's 1533-position model. The record is from RNAcentral.